Patella vulgata (common limpet) is the source of this 582-nucleotide long non-coding RNA. RefSeq lists it as uncharacterized. The transcript has 3 exons. NCBI's taxonomy places the organism in Eukaryota, Metazoa, Mollusca, Gastropoda, Patellidae. The record is from RefSeq and is a predicted model, not a curated record.
GCUAACAGAACGUAUGUUAACGGUUACGAAGCAGACAGAAGUUAUGUUGGAAAUAUAAGCUACGAUAUUGGUCUGCAAACAGUCAUAAACAUAGUUGAAGCCUCGGUAGAAUGUGAACAAUAUAUUAAAUAUGAAUGUUAUAAUGCCCAUAGUGUGUCAUUUGGGUUAAAUACACGUACUGGUGCCUUAGCAACUUAUUUAAUUGGAGGCGUCAAAGGUCAGAUGGAUUGCGCAUGUCAUCUUGAUAAUACAUGUGUUGAUGGUUUACUAUGUAAUUGUGAAAAGAAUGAUUUGGUAUUAAGAGUUGAUGAGGGAUAUAUUCGGUAUAAAGAGGACCUACCAAUUACCGCCAUUUUGGCAGGUGAUACAGGACACAGUACUGAGUACGCCUAUUAUACAGUCGGCAAUGUCAAGUGUAAAGGGUAGCCAAAGAGCCAGUCUAAAUGUUUAACUACGUUGUUUUGAAAGUGGGGAUAUGUUGGAUUAAAGUACAACCCAGAUUUUCACAUUCAUACAUAUAUAAAAAAAAUAAAAUAUGUUAUUAAGCACACCUAAAAGAUUAACCAUAUUGCAAAUUACAGA